Molecule: long non-coding RNA, 4790 nt
Filed under: Cricetulus griseus (Chinese hamster)
Lineage: Eukaryota; Metazoa; Chordata; Mammalia; Rodentia; Cricetidae
Description: lncRNA (ENSCGRG00015033201.1)
Source: RNAcentral
CGCUCCUCGAGAGGAGGCAGGCGACGAAGAUACGGACCCACAUUCUUUCAGGGCGGCGAGACCCCUGCAGCACCCGCCCGGAGUAGGAAGGGACUGAAGAUCUGAAGCUGAUGGUGACUGGGUCUGUCUAGACGCAGCUCGGUAAAAGAGAUGGAUGGAGACGAGAGAGUGGCCGAGGGACAGGCCCGCGGGGAAGCCAGGGGAAGAGCCGAGAAGGACGUGGUCUCAAGGGCUGGGGCGGUGCCCAUGAGCCUGGCGGAUCUCUGCUGCGACCCUUCCGGGCCGCGGUCUGCACUGACUCCUUCACUCCUCUGGUGCUCCCCACCAGCUGCGGUGAUUUAUGGCUGGGCCAGGCCUGACGACCUUGGACGGAUAACUAAUGACAGACACCUCAUUUGCCUAGGGGUCCCGUUUGCCUGCGAGGCAGGGUGGGGGACAUCCCCACUUCUGCCUGUGUCAUCUGGGGACCUCUGAGAACAGACUGCUGCCUCCUCCUCUUGGUUCUGCCAACUUCUUGGUCCUUGUUUGAGAUGCCCUGAUUCCUGGUCUCCAUUAGAACCCUGGGAGAGCUUUAUUCCCGAGAUGGCUGCCUCACUGGUACCGAUUGUGCUCACUGUGCAAGGCUCUGCACUGCCAGAGGUCACCCAUGUGUGUGAGUCCUAGGACAGACCCUGCUGGAGGUUUCUGGGUGACUUCAAACUGCUGAGUUUAACCAAAUGGGGAUGGAGACUGGAGUCGACCAAAGCUACAAGUAAACUGACCUCUACUCCUCGGACUGAAGCCACAGGAACUGGGUACCUGCAUGCCUCAUUCCACCUGUUUAGAAUACAUUUGAGACUAGCCUGUAGGCCUGCACUAAUCCAGAUGGGCCUGCCUCAGAUCCAGACGGUAUUACUGUCUAACUCAAAAGGGAGAGGCUAAGACAAUCAACACUACCAAGGCCUAAUCAUUUUCAGUAUUCUCCACUUCAGUCAAAUGCUAAACAAGUACAUCAUCUCCAGCCUCAGGAAGACAGCCUUCUCCCCAGCUUUGGAUCACUAAAAAUAAAUGUUUUUUUCUUACAGAAUGAUUUAGGAGUCUCAAUGUCAUUUCCAGUUCGAAAACAAGCUAUGAGGGCCAGACUUUAUUACUUGUCAACAGAGUUCCAGACAGUCUCUGUCUCUAAAGUUAGGACAAAUCAGAAAGAAUUUAGCCAAGGGACAAGUGUAAAAGGGUUCCUUCCCAUCCAUAAUUCACAUCCACUUUCCAAAUGUAUUUCAAGGGAAAGGAUGUUCCCAGCAGCAGCACCGACAUGUAAGUGUGUGCACACACAAACUUGUGCAGCAAGGCACGUUGGCCUUGUCCAGACAUCACCACUGUGACAGAGGUCACAUUCUCCAGCAGGGUACCCUGUGCACAUGCUUCUCUGCCUAAGAAGAAUCUCAGCUCUCUGUAGGAGAGGCCUUUUGAGCUGUACACUGGAAAAGCAGAUGAGAGAGAGAGAGAGAGAGAGAGAGAGACCGACGACCGACCGAACAUGGGAACACUCAGAGCCACAGGACACCUGCAGCUUCUUGCCUACUAUUCCUUUAAAUGCGUUGAGAUGUUCUUUGUUUCUCUUUUCUUUUUAAAAAGGUCAAACUUUACAUUCAUUCUCGCCCAGUUGGGGAUUGGUGAUAAUCAAUUCCCACUGAAAUCAUGCAGAGACGGUAAGUGGGGUUUACCUUCUCUGGAAAUGAACUUCUACUUACCUGAUUGUUUCUUCUACAAUGAACUGGUAAAUGACCCCCAGAGCUGAGAAAUGUGAUUCAAGUUUCUCAGACCACUUAACUUCAUUCCCAUUUCCAGCAGCAGUAGAGAGGACAACCUGGAGAAAAAGCUUAACCGCGCUAACGGCUUCAAUGGGCAGGGUCCACCAGAGCCCAAGGACAAUGGGUGGCCACACUUCCCAACUGGCUUCAGAGCAGCACACCUUCGGCUAACCUUGGGAAGGGGAGCAGUCCUGGCACCGCCUGUCUGCAGUAGUACACACACCGCCCCAACCCCGGCGUCCAGCCCCGCAGGGCCUCCAGACACAGGCAGGUGCUCUCCUGCACCUACUUUCUCAGCAGCCCAUAACUGAAGGGCUGGUCAAGGCGAGGCCACUAGACCAUUUCUUGAAGCAGCUUAGGUCUCUUUACAUCUGACUUGUUUUUCAGCAAAGUCCUUCACUAUUAACAGUCAACAGAACGGACAAGGAGCUCAGAGUGGCUAAACCAGAUGACUCUGCAGCAUGUGGUAGUCGGGAAAGGAGAAACAGCAUACACACGCGACCUGACUCAGCAUUCACUCAGGACAUACUGGGCAAGGGGCAACUUGCAAGCCAGAGAAUGAAGAUGCCUUCUUCUCCCUCUCCUGGUGAAGUGAAGGUGGCCUGGCUGUAGGUCACUUGUAACUGGCCCCCAUUUCUACUUUCAUAGCAGCUGGUUCAGUUGGCUUUCUUAAACUCAAAUGCAUGGUUAGGAACAGCAAUGAGAGCCUGACUGCUUGGUUUCCAAGGGAAAAGUGAGGCUGUUCCAUGGCCGCGGGUCCAAGUGUGCCUAAACCACCCUUUGGCAUGCCCAGCAUGCUGGGGGGGGGUGUGAGUUGGUUCUCCGUUCAAGUGCUCCUAGGCUUGCCCACGAACCUCUGCAUCUGGAACCUGCUGGCAGAGGCCCAGUGCUGCCUUCCAUGAGGCCAGGUUAGCCCUGCCCGCCCUUGAGGAAGUCCAGUCGCUUAUGUUUUCACGGACAGCCAGUUUCCUGGCUGGGGAAAGUGGACAGCAAAAUAAGGCAGGGGGAAGGAAAGGAAGAGAAGGCAGUUCCCACUUACUAGUAACCCUGUGUGCCGCAAUUCACCCUGAUCCCCGUGGCAGCCUUGCCUUUCUGCAAACAUUAAACACUAGGUUUGGGAGAAGCAGAAGGAAGGGUCUGCAGUGCAAGGCUGAGACGUUAGACUGACAGGCCGGCUGCUUUUCUCCCGGCCAUCUCUUAAGCUGCUGUGCUCACAGUCUGGGCAGUUAUGGGUGCCCGGGUGCUUUCCGGCUCAGUCAAGGAAACAGAUGGGAGCCACGGUACAGAGUGCAGUGGUGCCUGGUGAUGGCCAUUCCAAGCCUUUCUGCAGGCCCAGCCUUGCCAGUGAUUUAAGAUGAAGCACAAUGCUUUUUAUUACACAUCUAAUUGUUAAUGAGAGGAAAUGCAAUCAGCGGCUCCUUUCCACUCUACAUGGAACCGAGGAGACUGCUGAGUCCAGAGCAGACACAACCACUGAUGGUGCCCAGGACAUUCCUGUCCCUCCCCCUGGACACAGGGAAGGAUGAGAGAGAAAGCUGCAAAUAUGAGUGUCAUGUUCAUGAAUCCACUGCUGCCCUGGGGGUCGUUUGCAGCAAAAGCCUGGGCUGGAAAUGACAAUACACUCAAACUCUUCCAAGUGUCACAUUUUUUAGGUGAUCCACCUCAUGCUAGAUGAGGACAUUGCACACACCUUCUCAGGUUGAAGAUGGAGUAGGGGAGGAGGGAAGAGGGACAGAAACCCAGACAGGGGAGGAGGCAGCAGGUGCAGAUCUUCCAGUGUGUGUCCCUCUCUUCUAAGGGUAUGCAAGCAGGCAGCUGUCUCCUUCCAUGCAGUGGCCUGGACUGCUCUGGCCAGGCUCUAGUUACUCCUGCAGUUAACAGGGAGAGGCCAGGCAUUCUCUGCCUGGAAGUUGCAGCCCCUGUCCCCUAGAAGUAGGCCAGAUGGGGAAGCUAGUUCUUCUGCUUAAUGGCAAAGCAAGAGAGAUUCUGGCAAAACACUAAAUAUAUUUAUAAGUCAUCUUUGUCUGGAACCCAAUGGGAGAGAAACAGGUGCAGAGGGAGGGGGUAGGGAACAGGAGGGGAGGCUUAAAAGUUCCAAUCAUUCACACAAGAUAAAGACAUCUUCUGAUAGCAGCACUGAAGCAGCCGGCUGUGCCGAGCAGACCGUCCUGGUCAGCUGCUGACCGACUGUCCCAACAGGAGUCUCAAAGCCCUGCUCCUCGCUGAUCCAUCCGGGGAAUCCGGGUAGGAGUGUGAUUGUUGUUCAUCCUGGUCUUGGCAGAUAUGUUAAAUACUGCAACAUUAACGAGUCCUGUGUGGAAACACAGCCAGCAGUCAUUAGCCCCUUUCCCUGUACUUUCCACUUGCUCUAAGACAGAAGGUUUGUGUGGCUGUCAAUGAGAACGACUUGGGGGUCCUUCCCAAGAGCUGCUCCCUGCACAGUGCUUCUAUCACAGUUUUCUUGGGGGCUUACACAAAGGACAGGGUUUAGUGGUGUGCUCAGGAUACAGGGUCCUAAGAUUAAGAGUGAAUAAUGGCUGGGACAGUGCCAUGCUUCCCUGCUCCCUGGAAUACCAGAGGGGGCAGGAAUGACUCUGGGGGCCCUGUUUGACUGUCCUGAAGCACAGUGGUGUCUCUGUUAAGAAGGGUGCACAGGCAGGAAGCUGUCUGGGGCCUGUCUGGCUUAAGGAACCGUCCAUGGAGACAAUGAAAGUGCUCCUGGUCCCUUCAAGGUGGGUGUGGCUGGACAUGUGGCUGGGAGAUUAAGACAGAGGGUGAUUCUGGAGAUAAAAAAUUGCCAGCCAUCUAUGUUGAAGUGAGAGCUAAAGUCAUGGGAAAAGAUAAGAUAGCCCAAGAAGAGAGCCUAGAGGAGUUAAAAAUGACUGAGCCAGAUUCUCAGGGGAUGUCUCUUUCCGCAGUGAGAGGAGAAAAGACAUAAAGUUAGGGAGAAUAAAAACAGUGAGGGCUACGAGCACAUUGCCAUGGUUAAGCAUGUGUUUA